GGCGGCUCUCUAAGACAGGUGUGAAAUCCCCGGGCUUAACCUGGGAAUGGCGCUUGUGACUGGAGAGCUAGAGUGUGGCAGAGGGGAAUGGAAUUCCUGGUGUAGCAGUGAAAUGCGUAGAUAUCAGGAGGAACACCGAUGGCGAAGGCAGUUCCCUGGGCCAACACUGACGCUCAUGCACGAAAGCGUGGGGAGCAAACAGGAUUAGAUACCCUGGUAGUCCACGCCCUAAACGAUGUCAACUAGUUGUUGGGGAAGGAGACUUCUUUAGUAACGUAGCUAACGCGUGAAGUUGACCGCCUGGGGAGUACGGCCGCAAGGCUAAAACUCAAAUGAAUUGACGG
This 344-nucleotide ribosomal RNA is filed under the name uncultured beta proteobacterium. Its description in RNAcentral is "bacterial SSU rRNA". It matches the Rfam family "Bacterial small subunit ribosomal RNA", at positions 574 to 916 of the family's 1533-position model. Lineage: Bacteria; Pseudomonadati; Pseudomonadota; Betaproteobacteria. The record is from RNAcentral.